Long non-coding RNA from Triticum dicoccoides, 1018 nucleotides. RefSeq lists it as uncharacterized. The record is from RefSeq and is a predicted model, not a curated record. Lineage: Eukaryota; Viridiplantae; Streptophyta; Magnoliopsida; Poales; Poaceae. The transcript is spliced from 4 exons.
GCUUCAGCUUCCCACCUAGCUACUAUCAUACAGCCAUGGCCGGUAAGAGCCCCUCCUAUUACCAAACUAGUCCAUGCCAAGAGGUCAAGCAAAAGGAACAUCGUUUCCACCUGUACAUGGACCAGCAUGGUGAAGGGAAAACUGGAGCCAACCAAAUAGUUCCUCUGAAGGAAACUCCAGCUACCGAAAUAGAUCGUGCGAAGGAAGUGAAGUUUGGUCUAACCGCCGUGGUUGAUUGGAGCGUACGUGACGGCCGUGCCCCCGAAGCAAACAUUGUUGCACGUGCAAAAGGCACGUCCAUCCUGGCAGAUAUGAGCCAGCAGACUUGGUUCAUGUGUUACACUUUGUUGUUCUCCGAUUAGAGGUUUAAGGGGUCCAGCCUUGAGUGCAUAGGAAGUCAUGUCGCCAAUACAGAUGGGCAAUAUGCUGUGACAGAGACGCCUUUGAGCAAGGUGGGACCUUGGGGUGGGAAUGGAGGGUCAACUUUUGACAUCCCAGACCAACCUCUGUCUAUUCAAUCUGUGACUAUCACAUGCAGUGAUGUCAUCAAUUCUUUAGCAUUUUCUUAUGUUGACAAAACCGGUCAGAAGAAAAACGUUGGACCAUGGGGUGGUGCGGGUCCACUUUCCGUGACGAUCACGCUUGCUUCUUCGGAGAUUUUGAAGCAAGUUACGGGAACAACCAACAGCAUUGGAGGUGACACUGUUGUAACGUCGCUUGCCUUCGCCACUAGUGUUACCACAUAUGGGCCUUUUGGAAAACCAAAUGGCACACCUUUCAGCAGCCAGGUGCCAGACAAUAGCAGCAUCGUGGGUUUCUACGCGCGUGCUGGAGGGUCUGUUAAUGCACUCGGAGCAUAUGUCUGCCCAAAUUAGCUCAAGGAAAUGUUGCUUUUCAGACAAGGCCAUCCCUUCUCCAGUAUUCGUUGAUCGUGUGGUCGGAACUACUUAAUUUGCUUUUCAUAAAUUUUGUAUUUCAUGUAGCCUACUUUUUCCAUUUUCAUGAGAAUAAAAUUGUG